AUUGAACGCUGGCGGCAGGCCUAACACAUGCAAGUCGAACGAGUGGCGGACGGGUGAGUAAUGUCUGGGAAACUGCCUGAUGGAGGGGGAUAACUACUGGAAACGGUAGCUAAUACCGAAUACCCUCAGAUGUGCCAAGAUGGGAUUAGCUAGUUGGUGGGGUAACGGCUAACCAAGGCGACGAUCCCUAGCUGGUCUGAGAGGAUGACCAGCCACACUGGAACGGAGACACGGUCCAGACUCCGACGGGAGGCAGCAUGGGGGAAUAUUGCACAAUGGGCUCAAGCCUGAUGCAGCCAUGCGGCGUGGAUGAAGAAGGCCUUCGGGUUGUAAAGUACUUUCAGCGGGGAGGCGUUACCCGCAGAAGAAGCACCGGCUAACUCCGUGCCAGCAGCCGCGGUAAUUC
RNAcentral lists this ribosomal RNA (406 nucleotides) under uncultured bacterium. RNAcentral describes it as "partial 16S ribosomal RNA". It matches the Rfam family "Bacterial small subunit ribosomal RNA", at positions 30 to 526 of the family's 1533-position model. The record is from RNAcentral.